RNAcentral lists this ribosomal RNA (496 nucleotides) under uncultured bacterium. RNAcentral describes it as "partial 16S ribosomal RNA". It matches the Rfam family "Bacterial small subunit ribosomal RNA", at positions 28 to 506 of the family's 1533-position model. The record is from RNAcentral.
GAUGAACGCUGGCGGCGUGCCUAAUACAUGCAAGUCGAGCGAACGGACGAGAAGCUUGCUUCUCUGAUGUUAGCGGCGGACGGGUGAGUAACACGUGGAUAACCUACCUAUAAGACUGGGAUAACUUCGGGAAACCGGAGCUAAUACCGGAUAAUAUUUUGAACCGCAUGGUUCAAAAGUGAAAGACGGUCUUGCUGUCACUUAUAGAUGGAUCCGCGCUGCAUUAGCUAGUUGGUAAGGUAACGGCUUACCAAGGCAACGAUGCAUAGCCGACCUGAGAGGGGGAUCGGCCACACUGGAACUGAGACACGGUCCAGACUCCUACGGGAGGCAGCAGUAGGGAAUCUUCCGCAAUGGGCGAAAGCCUGACGGAGCAACGCCGCGUGAGUGAUGAAGGUCUUCGGAUCGUAAAACUCUGUUAUUAGGGAAGAACAUAUGUGUAAGUAACUGUGCACAUCUGGACGGUACCUAAUCAGAAAGCCACGGCUAACUACGU